AUGGCCGUCGGUGGUGCUCGCCGGACCGGAGCGGCUUCGCCGGAGCGCAUACAGGUUGAAGGCGAUUUGGCGAUGCGCCGGCGUUCCCGCCGGCGGCGGAGUCCUGUGCUUGCCGUUUUCGGUGGCACUGGGCAGUUCCAUCGCUGCCGCGGUGGCGGUCUCGCCAGUAAGAAGAAACGUACUCGUAACAGGGCCUCCCAGGAACGGCUGACUUCAUUGAUUGAUAGAUUUACCGACGAUCAGAAGGGAGCUGCUGCUGAGAUGGGUAUGCACGCUCUGAUGAAUGUCCGGUGCGCGAAUCUAGUCAACCCUGUAUGCGACUGGCUUGGUGAGAUUUACGACCCUGCCUCCAGGGAAUUUAUGAUUCCGGGACGUGGAAGACUGCCGUUGAACGAGGAAUCUGUUUUCUGCACUUUGGGUGUGCCCCGUGGACAUACUAAAGUCCCGUAUGAGGUCAAUAACAAGAUCGAGGAAGCGUUGUUCCCCCAUUUGUUUCCUGGGUUGGAAUCCAUGCCGAACACGUCUGUACUGGCAGAUUCGCUGCAGGCCAUGACAACCCAUGGCGAGGUUUUUAAGAUGAAACUACGCAUGUACCUCAUAUCAGCUAUUUUUGCGCCAACCAUUUCUCUUUGCCCAAGCAACAAAUGCUUCCCCAUCCUGGCGAAACUGAAAGAUGUGAAGAACAUGAAUUGGUGUAAGUUCAUUGCUGACUUCCUGCACAAUGCAUUCUCAAGCAAGAUGUACCAGAAGGGUUAUCGACUGCAUUUAAUGCUCAUGUACGUCGACUGUCUUGAUCUGUCCACCGUGGAUUUCACUGGGAUAGGAGGCCCACCGCCUACGCACAAGUUUGUUGUUUCUACGUGGACUAUCGAUGCUGUCAAGGCUGUGCUUGCUGCAGACAGGGUAACUGAUACCAAAUAUGGAAAACUGCAGCUGAUGGCCAAGCAUGCUAUAGACUACAGCGUGUUUGGGGGGCCUCAAAACUUUGGAAAGUGGACCGUCUUGCCCUACUGA
RNAcentral lists this ribosomal RNA (1014 nucleotides) under Triticum aestivum (bread wheat). Its description in RNAcentral is "partial small subunit ribosomal RNA". The record is from RNAcentral. Lineage: Eukaryota; Viridiplantae; Streptophyta; Magnoliopsida; Poales; Poaceae.